Molecule: unclassified non-coding RNA, 325 nt
Filed under: Hevea brasiliensis (rubber tree)
Lineage: Eukaryota; Viridiplantae; Streptophyta; Magnoliopsida; Malpighiales; Euphorbiaceae
Source: RNAcentral
CAAGGCGUUUGGUUCCAAAAACUAUCAAGUUUCAGUUCAACGAAGUCACAAUAACCCUUCAGUAACAAGAAGAAAAUACAAUAUAACUAAAACUACAUACCUUUAAGUCAUAUAUAUUAUUCACAACUGCAUGUCGACACAUUCAACCACACGAGCAAAGCUUUUCCUAGAAUUCCAACAUAGCAGUUCAAUAAAGCAUGUGCUGCUUUGAUCCAUCAUAUAGCCCAGUUGAACCUUCCACAGUUGACUUGGCUGUUCCCACCAAACACUUCAAUGGUAUCUCACAUUGAAGACUUGUUAUCGUCGACUUCAGUAAAGCAUCUCC